GACGAACGCUGGCGGCGUGCUUAACACAUGCAAGUCGAACGGAAAGGCCCUGCUUUUGUGGGGUGCUCGAGUGGCGAACGGGUGAGUAACACGUGAGUAACCUGCCCUUGACUUUGGGAUAACUUCAGGAAACUGGGGCUAAUACCGGAUAGGAGCUCCUGCUGCAUGGUGGGGGUUGGAAAGUUUCGGCGGUUGGGGAUGGACUCGCGGCUUAUCAGCUUGUUGGUGGGGUAGUGGCUUACCAAGGCUUUGACGGGUAGCCGGCCUGAGAGGGUGACCGGCCAGAUUGGGACUGAGAGACGGCCGAGACUCCUACGGGAGGCAGCAGUGGGGAAUAUUGAACGAUGGGCGGAAGCCUGAUUCAGCAACGCCGCGUGCGGGAUGACGGCCUUCGGGUUGUAAACCGCUUUCGCCUGUGACGAAGCGUGAGUGACGGUAAUGGGUAAAGAAGCACCGGCUAACUACGUG
RNAcentral lists this ribosomal RNA (468 nucleotides) under uncultured bacterium. RNAcentral's name for it is "partial 16S ribosomal RNA". It matches the Rfam family "Bacterial small subunit ribosomal RNA", at positions 28 to 507 of the family's 1533-position model. The record is from RNAcentral.